CGUAUCAUCUUCCUUACAAUUCAUUUUUGUUAUCUUGCAGUCUUAUGAAAAAGGGAAAAGAAAAAAAAAAAAAAGUUGGAUCAAAAGUGACAGUCUGAAAUGAGAGUAUAACAAAUCCGCAGAGGUCAGUCCUGCUUGUGUUUGCCUCUGGGCUCACCUAGAUUCUGGUGAAUGAUACAGAUAUAUUUCAUAGUAUUCUCCUUGUUUUAAACCUACGCUAAUAGCAUUAAGCUAUCAAUAACUUGCCUCCAUUUUCUACCAUGUUGGGUCCAAGAUUUAAAGUAAAAUGGUUUAGGCCCUGACGAGUUAGUAAACUGGCAGCAAAUACUGACAACAAACAGAGCCUGCCUG
This is a long non-coding RNA of Nanorana parkeri, 351 nucleotides long. RefSeq lists it as uncharacterized. Lineage: Eukaryota; Metazoa; Chordata; Amphibia; Anura; Dicroglossidae. The record is from RefSeq and is a predicted model, not a curated record. The transcript has 3 exons.